CCUCGUGAGUAAAGUGGCGUACGGGUGAGUAACACGUGGAUUAUCUACCUUCUAGUGGGGGAUAACCCUGGGAAACCGGGGCUAAUACCGCAUAAGCUCGAGAGAGGAAAGCAGCAAUGCGCUGGAAGAGGAGUCCGCGGCCGAUUAGCUAGUUGGUAGGGUAAAAGCCUACCAAGGCAACGAUCGGUAGCCGGCCUGAGAGGGCACACGGCCACACUGGCACUGAAACACGGGCCAG
RNAcentral lists this ribosomal RNA (238 nucleotides) under uncultured bacterium. RNAcentral describes it as "partial 16S ribosomal RNA". It matches the Rfam family "Bacterial small subunit ribosomal RNA", at positions 82 to 334 of the family's 1533-position model. The record is from RNAcentral.